RNAcentral lists this ribosomal RNA (440 nucleotides) under uncultured bacterium. RNAcentral describes it as "partial 16S ribosomal RNA". It matches the Rfam family "Bacterial small subunit ribosomal RNA", at positions 338 to 795 of the family's 1533-position model. The record is from RNAcentral.
CCUACGGGGGGCAGCAGUGGGGAAUAUUGCGCAAUGGGGGAAACCCUGAUGCAGCGACGCCGCGUGAGCGAUGAAGUAUUUCGGUAUGUAAAGCUCUAUCAGCAGGGAAGAAAAUGCCUGUACCUGACUAAGAAGCCCCGGCUAACUACGUGCCAGCAGCCGCGGUAAUACGUAGGGGGCGAGCGUUAUCAGGAUUUACUGGGUGUAAAGGGAGCGGAGAGGGUGAUGCAAGCCAGUGGUGAAAGCCCGGGGGUUAACCCCGGGACUGCAUUUGGAACUGGAAGGCUAGAGUGUCGGAGAGGCAGGCGGAAUUCCUAGUGUAGCGGUGAAAUGCGUAGAUAUGAGGAGGAACACCAGUGGCGAAGGCGGCCUGCUGGACGAUGACUGACGUUGAGGCUCGAAAGCGUGGGGAGCAAACAGGAUUAGAUACCCUUGUAGUC